ACCUCGGUGGUGCAGUGGUAGAGCACGCCUCCCGGAUAGGAUGAAACACGGGUUCGGUUCCCGGUUGAGACC
This is a non-coding RNA of Parelaphostrongylus tenuis, 72 nucleotides long. The record is from the annotation of a GenBank genome assembly. NCBI's taxonomy places the organism in Eukaryota, Metazoa, Nematoda, Chromadorea, Rhabditida, Metastrongylidae.